AUUGAACGCUGGCGGCAUGCUUUACACAUGCAAGUCGAACGGCAGCGCGGGCUUCGGCCUGGCGGCGAGUGGCCAACGGGUGAGUAAUACAUCGGAACGUGCCCAGCAGUGGGGGAUAGCUCGGCGAAAGCCGGAUUAAUACCGCAUACGACCUGAGGGUGAAAGCGGGGGAUCUUCGGACCUCGCGCUAUUGGAGCGGCCGAUGGCAGAUUAGCUAGUUGGUGGGGUAAAGGCCUACCAAGGCGACGAUCUGUAGCUGGUCUGAGAGGACGACCAGCCACACUGGAACUGAGACACGGCCCAGACUCCUACGGGAGGCAGCAGUGGGGAAUUUUGGACAAUGGGCGAAAGCCUGACCCAGCAAUGCCGCGUGUGUGAUGAAGGCCUUCGGGUUGUAAAGCACUUUUGGCGGGAACGAAAAGGACUGUGCCAAUACCACGGUUCGAUGACGGUACCCGCAGAAUAAGCACCGGCUAACUACGUG
This 484-nucleotide ribosomal RNA is filed under the name uncultured bacterium. RNAcentral describes it as "partial 16S ribosomal RNA". It matches the Rfam family "Bacterial small subunit ribosomal RNA", at positions 29 to 507 of the family's 1533-position model. The record is from RNAcentral.